Long non-coding RNA from Gadus morhua (Atlantic cod), 995 nucleotides. RefSeq lists it as uncharacterized. The transcript is spliced from 2 exons. The record is from RefSeq and is a predicted model, not a curated record. Lineage: Eukaryota; Metazoa; Chordata; Actinopteri; Gadiformes; Gadidae.
GACAUGACGUUCCAGCACAAGCAGCAGCUAAAACAGAACGUUAAUGAGGAAACGGGAGUAGAAAUAUAGAGAGACACUAAUGUAUGUACUUGUGUACGACUGCAGGGUCUGAAGGAUAAUCGCCCCAUCGUCUGAAAAACUGGUGUUUCAUUAUGAAAACUAGCCUGGAAAUCCUUGGACAGAGAUGAGCUGGGAGAGGAGCCAUUAUCAUUACGGAUAUCAUUACACUAAAACACAGCGCAUUAUGGACAGGCUGUCAUGUGCCUGUGAGUCAGUUUUUCUUCCUAGUGGAUGUAGGGCGAAGAUGAUGAUGAUCAGAUACACCAUUUAUCAAUGAACACAUGCAGAGACGCAAACUUUGAUAGAGAAGUUGCCACGACAAUUUGGGGGCUCGUCGGGAUACCUAACCUGAAGAUCCCGUGAAAAAUCCCUGGGUGUCUGCCAAGUCAGGUCUGAGGAUUCGGCCUCAGUCCCAAAGCUCUACCUCGCCUCCAGGUGACUGUAACCAGCCUAAUGGGGUCGAGGAAAGGAUGUCUGUGGGGGAUGGAGUAGGGGUUCUUCAGUACGGUAUCCAAAGGAAAAAGAAUUCGAGCAGGUGAGAUCACAAUACUGUUUAAAGCUUCCAAAUAAAAUCUGUUACAGGAACGGUAUAUAAAUGUAAUAGGUAUUCAUUAAUAAAUAUAUAUAUGUGCAGUAACAAGGUUACACUGAUAUUAGAUAAUAAUUAAUAGUGUGUACGGAUCUAAAAAUAUGGGGAACAAAUCUGGAAAAACUGAGAUAACGGGGCCUGCAAAGGUGAUGUUGGAGAAGCAUGGUGAAGCGGCUCUGGAGGGUUUAAAAUAUUGGUGCAAACUGUGCUUUCCUGAAAUGGGGAGUUUUAGCUUAAAACGAUUACAGGAGUUAGAGAGACGAUUGUUGGGAGUCAGAAAUGAAAAAGAAAAGUUCCAAACUAUGUUGGUGUGCAUUUUAUUUGUGGGAAAGAGAGGGCCAGGAUA